GACGAACGCUGGCGGCGUGCUUAACACAUGCAAGUCGAACGGAAAGGCCCUGCUUUUGUGGGGUGCUCGAGUGGCGAACGGGUGAGUAACACGUGAGUAACCUGCCCUUGACUUUGGGAUAACUUCAGGAAACUGGGGCUAAUACCGGAUAGGAGCUCCUGCUGCAUGGUGGGGGUUGGAAAGUUUCGGCGGUUGGGGAUGGACUCGCGGCUUAUCAGCUUGUUGGUGGGGUAGUGGCUUACCAAGGCUUUGACGGGUAGCCGGCCUGAGAGGGUGACCGGCCACAUGGGGACUGAGAUACGGCCCAGACUCCUACGGGAGGCAGCAGUGGGGAAUAUUGCACAAUGGGCGGAAGCCUGAGGCAGCAACGCCGCGUGCGGGAGGACGGCCUUCGGGUUGUAAACCGCUUUCGCCUGUGACGAAGCGUGAGUGACGGGAAUGGGGAAAGAAGCACCGGCUAACUACGU
This 467-nucleotide ribosomal RNA is filed under the name uncultured bacterium. RNAcentral's name for it is "partial 16S ribosomal RNA". It matches the Rfam family "Bacterial small subunit ribosomal RNA", at positions 28 to 506 of the family's 1533-position model. The record is from RNAcentral.